Molecule: unclassified non-coding RNA, 394 nt
Filed under: soil metagenome
Description: partial contains 5.8S ribosomal RNA, internal transcribed spacer 2, and large subunit ribosomal RNA
Rfam family: 5.8S ribosomal RNA (bases 1-122)
Source: RNAcentral
GAUGAAGAACGUAGCGAAAUGCGAUACUUAGUGUGAAUUGCAGAAUCCCGUGAACCAUCGAGUCUUUGAACGCAAGUUGCGCCCGAAGCCAUCAGGUUGAGGGCACGUCUGCCUGGGCGUCACAUAUCGUUGCCCAAUGCCUAUUGCAGUGCAAUAGGAAUUUCUAGGGCGAAUGAUGGCUUCCCGUGAGCGUUUUGCCUCGCGGUUGGUUGAAAAUCGAGUCCUUGGUAGGGUGUGCCAUGGUAGAUGGUGGUCGAGUUAGAACGAUACCGAUCAUGUGCAUGCUCCCCAAAAUAUGGCCUCUAUGACCCACACGCGUCUUUUGACGCUCAUGACGAGACCUCAGGUCAGGCGGGGCUACCCGCUGAAUUUAAGCAUAUCAAUAAGCGGAGGA